RNAcentral lists this unclassified non-coding RNA (143 nucleotides) under uncultured Pleurophragmium. RNAcentral describes it as "partial internal transcribed spacer 2". Lineage: Eukaryota; Fungi; Ascomycota; Sordariomycetes. The record is from RNAcentral.
CAACCCUCAAGCCUGGCUUGGUGUUGGGGCUCUGCGCCUGCAGUCCCUUAAAUCCAGUGGCGGACACGCUAGGUCUCCGAGCGCAGUAGUUUCUUCUCGCUCAGGGCGUCCGGCGUGGGCUUGCCUCGCACCCAUCUUAUCAA